GCCGGGUGCAAUGGCUCAUGCCUGUAAUCCCAGCGGCUCAGGAGGCUGAGGCAGGAGGAUCAUGAGUUCAAAGUCAGCCUCAGCAACUUAGCAAGGUGCUACGCAACUCAGUGAGACCCUGUCUCUA
This 127-nucleotide small RNA is filed under the name Marmota monax (woodchuck). The record is from RNAcentral. Lineage: Eukaryota; Metazoa; Chordata; Mammalia; Rodentia; Sciuridae.